CCUACGGGAGGCAGCAGUGAGGAAUAUUGGUCAAUGGACGAGAGUCUGAACCAGCCAAGUAGCGUGAAGGAUGACUGCCCUAUGGGUUGUAAACUUCUUUUAUAUGGGAAUAAAAUGUGCCACGUGUGGGAUUUUGUAUGUACCAUAUGAAUAAGGAUCGGCUAACUCCGUGCCAGCAGCCGCGGUAAUACGGAGGAUCCGAGCGUUAUCCGGAUUUAUUGGGUUUAAAGGGUGCGUAGGUGGAUUGUUAAGUCAGUUGUGAAAGUUUGCGGCUCAACCGUAAAAUUGCAGUUGAAACUGGCAGUCUUGAGUACAGUAGAGGUGGGCGGAAUUCGUGGUGUAGCGGUGAAAUGCUUAGAUAUCACGAAGAACUCCGAUUGCGAAGGCAGUUCACUGGACUGCAACUGACACUGAGGCUCGAAAGUGUGGGUAUCAAACAGGAUUAGAUACCCGUGUAGUC
This 460-nucleotide ribosomal RNA is filed under the name uncultured bacterium. RNAcentral's name for it is "partial 16S ribosomal RNA". It matches the Rfam family "Bacterial small subunit ribosomal RNA", at positions 338 to 795 of the family's 1533-position model. The record is from RNAcentral.